This is a long non-coding RNA of Triticum aestivum (bread wheat), 979 nucleotides long. RefSeq lists it as uncharacterized. The transcript has 4 exons. The record is from RefSeq and is a predicted model, not a curated record. Lineage: Eukaryota; Viridiplantae; Streptophyta; Magnoliopsida; Poales; Poaceae.
CCUCAUUUCGGGAUAGUAAGUCCGAUGACAAGAGAUUCUACAUAUUUUCUCCCACAAAGGCACUUAAGUUGAAGACACAUUCAAAAGAUGACCGUGUCUCUGUGGUCGAGGCCUUGGUCUUGGUCAGGAGUGUUUAUUCGCUCAGGUCGCUUAGUGGAACAAUAACUUUGGUGCAGAGUGACAUUUCUAUUUUGACUGCAAGGAAUCAAAAUCGGAUGCACCAAGAGGCUUUAAACGUGAGUCUUAUACAGGAUUGAGAAUAGAUUAUGCUUUCGGAGUUUUCAUGCUACUGAAAGCAACUGAAGCUACGCUAUGAGGAUCAUUUAAGCUUGUUUGGAUCUAGUAGAUACCAUUUUUGAGCGAGUUUUUCUGAAGAUGUGUCAAUGUUCAGCCUGGAGAAUGUUCAUGUAAAGGCCAGUACACAAGCAUGUCUACUUUGCCAUAUGGAUGGUGGAUUUACAGGACAAAUUUAUGCACCAGCUUUGAAUUCCAUGACGUUGCACGGACUAUGUGGAACCCACUGAUUCAUAGUGAUGUAUUUUCUUCGAGAAAGAGAGGAUUGUGCAAUCAGAAGUACAAUAUGUGAUCAUCAAGUGUAAGAGAUGGCAAGAAUAUGUGUCUCAGGUACCUCUUUUUUCAUUUGUAUGUCUAAGGUAAGAAUGAGAGAUUAGAUAAAAAAACAGGAAAGUGCUUACUUUGUUCAGUGGAUGCAUUCCGUCACUGUCCAUCAACAAGUUCAACUCCGGCGAUGGUUCAGCGAUGUGGGCCGAUGCACCACGUCAGGAACGUCAAUGGCCUGACAGGCCAUUUUCCAACUGGGCCUGUUGUAAAUGACGAGACCAUGAGGAUGCAGACAGUAAUGUUGCUCCUGAAAAUGAAUAUGUACUUUGCCGUGCCACUAAUCUCAGCAAAAUAGUAGAUCAUGAUGCCCCUCGUGCUACAGUCAAAUUGAAUCACAAAAAUUCUACAUAUUCAUAAA